This is a non-coding RNA of Mugil cephalus (flathead mullet), 961 nucleotides long. Lineage: Eukaryota; Metazoa; Chordata; Actinopteri; Mugiliformes; Mugilidae. The record is from the annotation of a RefSeq genome assembly.
AUGACUCUCAUCACCAUCCUCAUCUGGACGCUGGCCUGCUGCUGCUUCACAGGAUGCAGUGGUCAGGUGACUGUGACUCAGCCUCCAGUAAAGACAUUUACUCCAGGAUCCACUCUCACUAUGACCUGUAAGACCAGCCAGGAUGUUUACACAUAUAGUGAUGGAGAUCAGGCUAUGUCCUGGUAUCAGCAGAAAUCUGGACAAACUCCAAAGCUCCUGAUAUAUUUAGUGAGCACACUUAAAUCAGGAACACCAGAUCGGUUUAGUGGCAGUGGAAGUGGUUCUGACUUCUCUUUGACCAUCAGUGGAGUUCAGACUGAAGAUGCAGCAGUUUACUACUGUCAGAGUUACCACAGCGGUGGUGUGUGGACUUUUGGUGGAGGAACCAAACUCAUCAUUCACUCUGGCUCCAUGGUCAGGCCCUCAGUGUCUCUGCUCUCCCCCACCUCUGAGCAGCUCUCUGGGGGCUCGGCCACGCUGGCCUGCCUGCUGAGCGGCUACUCUCCCCAGGGAGCCGUGGUGAGCUGGGAGGUGGACGGUAGGGAAGUGACAGAGGGGGUCCUGACCAGCUCAGAGGAGGAGAAGAGCGGACGCUACAGCAGCAGCAGCACCCUGAGACUGAGCCGGGAGCGCUGGAUGGAAGGAGAGCUGUACUCCUGCAAGGUCUCCCAUCAUGACCACCAACAGACCCAGUCCCUCCACAGGAGCCAGUGUAAGGGCUAGAGGUGCUGGAUGGAGCCCAGGACAGGAGCUCUGUGUGGGGGGGCAGCAGGAACACACCUGUUGUUCUCAUCUGAUAUGAGUUUUAAUGUUUGUAGAGGGAAAUAAAGCUUCGUGUGACAGACAACAACACUGCUGUAAAGUGUUGGAGGACGACAACAGCUUAGAGAGUCGUGUGUGUAGCUCAGCAGCUGGAUGUGAGUGUGAUUAAUAACUGUCAUGUUGAUGCUAAUAAAGCUUG